GUUCUCCCUAAAGGAAUACCCUUUCCGUCCAAUGUGAAAUGCUGUGGUGCUUUCUGAAAUUCUGUAGUGUUUUCGGAAAUGCUGUGGCGUUUUGUGAAAUGCUGUGUUGGCUUCGUGUAUAUCAU
Molecule: long non-coding RNA, 125 nt
Organism: Notothenia coriiceps (black rockcod)
Lineage: Eukaryota; Metazoa; Chordata; Actinopteri; Perciformes; Nototheniidae
Exons: 3
Source: RefSeq, a predicted model, not a curated record